This 72-nucleotide transfer RNA is filed under the name Camelus bactrianus (Bactrian camel). It matches the Rfam family "tRNA". From Rfam's summary of the family: Transfer RNA (tRNA) molecules are approximately 80 nucleotides in length. Their secondary structure includes four short double-helical elements and three loops (D, anti-codon, and T loops). Further hydrogen bonds mediate the characteristic L-shaped molecular structure. tRNAs have two regions of fundamental functional importance: the anti-codon, which is responsible for specific mRNA codon recognition, and the 3' end, to which the tRNAs corresponding amino acid is attached (by aminoacyl-tRNA synthetases). tRNAs cope with the degeneracy of the genetic code in two manners: having more than one tRNA (with a specific anti-codon) for a particular amino acid; and 'wobble' base-pairing, i.e. permitting non-standard base-pairing at the 3rd anti-codon position. RNAcentral also lists the same sequence under 1 other name. Lineage: Eukaryota; Metazoa; Chordata; Mammalia; Artiodactyla; Camelidae. The record is from Rfam by way of RNAcentral.
AGGGUAUAGCUCAAUGGUAGAGUGCAGUGCUUGGUGUGCACGAGGUCUUGGGUUCAAUCCCCAAUACCUCUA